Molecule: small nucleolar RNA, 107 nt
Organism: Prunus persica (peach)
Lineage: Eukaryota; Viridiplantae; Streptophyta; Magnoliopsida; Rosales; Rosaceae
Rfam family: Plant small nucleolar RNA R71
About the family: R71 is a member of the C/D box family of snoRNAs containing the C (UGAUGA) and D (CUGA) box motifs. Multiple nearly identical copies of this snoRNA have been identified in Arabidopsis, and it is thought to function as a 2'-O-ribose methylation guide for 18S ribosomal RNA.
Source: Rfam
AUUUUGACAUGUGGACACUUUAUGUACAUCUCUGUAUAUCUCUCCCACGCUUCAUGAAACUCUUCAUUGGGCUUCUGUGUGAAUGUCAAAAUCUCCCUCUUGUAAUU